This 28-nucleotide small RNA is filed under the name Bombyx mori (domestic silkworm). RNAcentral's name for it is "ovarian small RNA-2398". Lineage: Eukaryota; Metazoa; Arthropoda; Insecta; Lepidoptera; Bombycidae. The record is from RNAcentral.
UUGCGUAUAUUUAUGGGCCCGAUCGCAG